This 370-nucleotide long non-coding RNA is filed under the name Piliocolobus tephrosceles (Ugandan red Colobus). RNAcentral describes it as "lncRNA (ENSPTEG00000007955.1)". The record is from RNAcentral. Lineage: Eukaryota; Metazoa; Chordata; Mammalia; Primates; Cercopithecidae.
CACAUUCGCCACGCUCCCGCUGGGGCCGGGCUCACCGCGCGCCUCUGGGUGCCCAGCCUCCACAGGCCACGUAGCCGCCACCUGCUGCUGCAUCCCCACUGCGGGGACAGGAGCACUUAGUGCCUCCCUCCGUUCCCCCGCCCCGCGCAGGCCUCCCAUCCUCCAGGGCCAGGCGGAGGCCACGUCUUUCCCGGGCCCCCUCCCCAACGCGGAGAGGGAGGCGGAGGGAGGAGCUCGGCCCGCAGCCGCCAGCCCUCUCGGCACUGGAGCUCCCCCUCCCCUCCUUCUCCGCCCCUCGGCUGCCGCAGCCCGGAUCGCCGCGCGCGUCAGCGUGGGCUCCCCGGAGCGAGUCGCUAGGUUAGCCUGGUGA